CUGCCAUAUCAUGUUGAAACACCAGUUUCCAUAUGAUCACUGAAGUUAAGUAAUAUCAAGCCUGGUCAGUACCUAGAUUGGUGACUACUUGGGAAUUCCAGGUUCUGUAAG
Acanthosepion pharaonis is the source of this 111-nucleotide non-coding RNA. The record is from the annotation of a GenBank genome assembly. Lineage: Eukaryota; Metazoa; Mollusca; Cephalopoda; Sepiida; Sepiidae.